Molecule: ribosomal RNA, 412 nt
Filed under: uncultured bacterium
Lineage: Bacteria
Description: bacterial SSU rRNA
Rfam family: Bacterial small subunit ribosomal RNA
Source: RNAcentral
UGAGUGAAGAAGGCCCUCGGGUUGUAAAGCUCUUUUGUUGGGAAAGAAAAGCAACCGGUUAAUACCCGGUUGUUCUGACGGUACCCAAAGAAUAAGCACCGGCUAACUUCGUGCCAGCAGCCGCGGUAAUACGAAGGGUGCAAGCGUUACUCGGAAUUACUGGGCGUAAAGCGUGCGUAGGUGGUUCGUUAAGUCUGAUGUGAAAGCCCUGGGCUCAACCUGGGAAUUGCAUUGGAUACUGGCGGGCUAGAGUACGGUAGAGGGUGGCGGAAUUCCUGGUGUAGCAGUGAAAUGCGUAGAUAUCAGGAGGAACAUCCGUGGCGAAGGCGGCCACCUGGACCAGUACUGACACUGAGGCACGAAAGCGUGGGGAGCAAACAGGAUUAGAUACCCUGGUAGUCCACGCCUCUAA